This 634-nucleotide ribosomal RNA is filed under the name uncultured bacterium. RNAcentral's name for it is "bacterial SSU rRNA". It matches the Rfam family "Bacterial small subunit ribosomal RNA", at positions 213 to 847 of the family's 1533-position model. The record is from RNAcentral.
UUUCGGUCAUCGAUGGGGAUGCGUUCCAUUAGCUUGUUGGCGGGGUAACGGCCCACCAAGGCAUCGAUGGAUAGGGGUUCUGAGAGGAAGGUCCCCCACAUUGGAACUGAGACACGGUCCAAACUCCUACGGGAGGCAGCAGUGAGGAAUAUUGGUCAAUGGGCGCUAGCCUGAACCAGCCAAGUAGCGUGAAGGAUGACUGCCCUAUGGGUUGUAAACUUCUUUUAUAUGGGAAUAAAGUGCAGUAUGUAUACUGCUUUGCAUGUACCUUAUGAAUAAGGAUCGGCUAACUCCGUGCCAGCAGCCGCGGUAAUACGGAGGAUCCGAGCGUUAUCCGGAUUUAUUGGGUUUAAAGGGAGCGUAGGCGGGUUGUUAAGUCAGUUGUGAAAGUUUGCGGCUCAACCGUAAAAUUGCAGUUGAUACUGGCAUCCUUGAGUACAGUAGAGGUAGGCGGAAUUCGUGGUGUAGCGGUGAAAUGCUUAGAUAUCACGAAGAACUCCGAUUGCGAAGGCAGCCUGCUGGACUGUAACUGACGCUGAUGCUCGAAAGUGUGGGUAUCAAACAGGAUUAGAUACCCUGGUAGUCCACACAGUAAACGAUGAAUACUCGCUGUUUGCGAUAUACAGUAAGCGGC